Dermochelys coriacea (leatherback sea turtle) is the source of this 2427-nucleotide long non-coding RNA. RefSeq lists it as uncharacterized. Lineage: Eukaryota; Metazoa; Chordata; Testudines; Dermochelyidae. The record is from RefSeq and is a predicted model, not a curated record. The transcript has 3 exons.
GACUCACAUGCAAGUAGUUCAUUGGCCUCAAUGGGAUUACUCACGUGCUUAAUAUUAGGCAAGCUCAUAAAUCUUUGCAGGAUCGGAGCCCACCGCUUGUAAAGCAAUUGCUAUGCAAGGAACGUGACUAUUAACCCUCCGAUCUUCUGGGUGUCUUUCUUUGGAAUCGGUAAGUGGGUCCUGUAGUUCCUUCAAACUGUAUUUAAACCACACACACUAUGCUUUUAAAACUAAGCCAUUUUCUGACUAGUUUUCUUUUACCCCAUUGUGAGACAACCUGAGUAACUGACAGAUUACCUUGAGUUUCCUGAGGACAGAAAUACACGUCCCAGUUUGAGGCUUUGAGAGCAAUAAAAGUACAUACAAACCACUAAGAACAGGAAGCGCUGCGGCAUGUUGCUGCGUUCAUAUAAGUCAAAAUUCAUUUAUACAAAUUCCAAAAAACUAAUUUGGCCGGAAGGAAAAACCUCUUUUCCCUGUUUAGAGCAUGGGGAGGCACCGUAAACAUCCUCAGACCAGGCACUUCUGUCCACUCCAAACAGCAGAGCAUUUGUGCGUGUGAGGCGGCUGUUUUGAUUCCCUGCCCACCCUUCAUUGGCAGAAAGAGACAGAACAAAUAUCGCCAGAGACUAUCCACCAAGGUGACCCACAUACACCCUCCAGCUGCAUUGAGGGAGGUGGCAGUGUUUUCAAACCGAAAACACAACAGCAAAAGGCAGAGGAAGAAAACAGCACUGAAGACACAUCCACCCCUCUACCGCACACAUCCCAGCUGGAUCCUCUCUGCUGCAUGUUUCAGUCCCCUUCAAGUACAUUGCCUAAUGGAGACCAUUCGCUAUCUCAGAACACAUAUCCCAUCUGUUGGGAAACUGGAGGUAACUUGGAAUGGAAUGAAGCUGUCCACGGAUGAAGCCCAAUCUUGUAAUCCUUACUUGGGCAAUGAGUCCCAAUGAGACUUCAGUGGGACGACAAGGAUGAAUAAGACAUGGGGAGACUUGGAUGUGUGGUUAAGGGAAGAUCCUGGGAAUCAGGAAACCUGGAUCCUACAUCCAGCGUGACACAGAAUUUUUGCAUGACCCUCGGCAAGUCAUUUUGUCUUCCUGUACAUUGGUUUCCUCAUACAUAAAAUGGGAAAAUGAAUUCCUACACCUCACAGGGAUAUUACAAGACAGUCAAUGUGUAGGCUUGUAAAGUGAAGACGACCCACAUAUCAUCAUUGUAUUUGGCCAAAAAAGUGGAAUACGGACAAAGCAAGUUCUCAGAAUAGUUGCUAUGUUUGUUCACAGCGGAAAAAAAGGAACUUUUCACACUGUAAGAAUGGUGAAGACAGACAAGUCCAGGUCAUGCUGUACAGGCUGCUCUCUCCUUCCUCAAAAGAUCUUAAUCAUAAUGUAUCACUAAUAACAAUGAAACCUGAAAUAUCUGAACCUGAUCCACAACUACAGUUGCUCAGAUUGUUUCCUAGGCCAGGACCCCCAUCAUGCACACGUGUGCUCUCCUGGACAUUGCGACAUUUGUUCCCUCAGCUUUACAAGUAAAAAAAAAAAAAAAAAAAGACAGACAACUCCAUUUUUGUGAAAACAUUCAAAAGAUUUGUGUUCUCAUUCCAAUGUAGAAUGAAAAAUUUCAGAAGUUGCCAGCAAAUGAAGUUGUCAUCCUCCAGGCAGUUGUAGCCACAGCUCCAGGACGUGGAGUUUGAUCCAGAAAAGAGAAAAGAAUGUCUUCCCUUUAAUUAUAAGUACUGGAAGGCCUCGUCUGAGACUGGCACAUGGAUGAUGCACGUGUCUGUGCGUGCGCACUUGCACAAUAAGUACAACACCCUCUCUGAAACGCCCACUCCACGCAGUGCAGUGAUCAAAUACUGAUUCCUUCUCAAGCUAUUGUCCGUUGCUAUUUGCUUUCAGACAGGAAAGCCCUGCUCAAUAGUUUUUCAACAUCAGAGUCAGCAGCCAGCUCUCAAUGACCCAUUUAGUGCCUCACCAAUGAAUGGUUUUUCCAUAGUCUGAAAGGAUUAAGUAUGUUGUUUAUGGUAAUUAGGGUAUGCAAAUUGCAAAAAUCAGCAGAUUUCCCACCUCCUGACAUAAUUUUCACUACAUAUCUUGGCAAGGGCUUUGCUCACAGAGUUUGCAGCACCAGUGAAAGAAAAAGCCCAGAUUUUAGUGGGACAGUGCAGGGUGGGUCAGUGAGGCCAUAUAUUCUCAGGUCAUUGCUGGGGAAAAAAAAGUACACAAUGUAUUUCUAGCAAACAAAUCAAAAGAAAAAGAAAGAAGUGGAUACAGUCUGACUCUUAACACUUGCCGUUCUAUCAGCUUCUAUUUUCCUAUUAAAUAUUUUGCAACAAGAAAAAUUCAUCUUUUUAAAAAAUAAAUGACAUUUCAGACAAAAUGUUGCUGGACUGGCACAAAGAUUCUAAGAGUCCAGACUGUU